GCCGGUCCUCGGUAGUGGCCGUCGGAACCCCCGCAGACCGAGCGGGGCACUCCGGAGGCUUCGAUCGAAGACCGGC
Streptomyces sp. CB02056 is the source of this 76-nucleotide regulatory RNA element. It matches the Rfam family "Actino-pnp RNA". The record is from Rfam. NCBI's taxonomy places the organism in Bacteria, Bacillati, Actinomycetota, Actinomycetes, Kitasatosporales, Streptomycetaceae.